This 117-nucleotide ribosomal RNA is filed under the name Actinacidiphila epipremni. The record is from RNAcentral. Lineage: Bacteria; Bacillati; Actinomycetota; Actinomycetes; Kitasatosporales; Streptomycetaceae.
UUCGGUGGUCAUAGCGUGAGGGAAACGCCCGGUCACAUUCCGAACCCGGAAGCUAAGCCUUUCAGCGCCGAUGGUACUGCAGGGGGGACCCUGUGGGAGAGUAGGACACCGCCGAGC